UAUACAUAGAAAAAACUGAGUCGUUAGGAACGUAUAUUAGUGCAACACCCAGUACCUGGCUCACAGAUUCACGAAUUGGAGCAACCACCUGAUCAGCUAAAUAAUCACCAAACCUGUCUAAAGCAAAUACGCAAGCUAUACGGCAAAGUAAGUCAUCAAAGUACUUUUUAUUCAGUUGUUCAUUUUCUGCUUCAGAUUUUCCAACGACACGACCAUAUC
Non-coding RNA from Schizosaccharomyces pombe (fission yeast), 219 nucleotides. The record is from the annotation of a GenBank genome assembly. Lineage: Eukaryota; Fungi; Ascomycota; Schizosaccharomycetes; Schizosaccharomycetales; Schizosaccharomycetaceae.